RNAcentral lists this ribosomal RNA (497 nucleotides) under uncultured bacterium. RNAcentral's name for it is "partial 16S ribosomal RNA". It matches the Rfam family "Bacterial small subunit ribosomal RNA", at positions 28 to 507 of the family's 1533-position model. The record is from RNAcentral.
GAUGAACGCUGGCGGCGUGCCUAAUACAUGCAAGUCGAGCGAACAGACGAGGAGCUUGCUCCUUUGACGUUAGCGGCGGACGGGUGAGUAACACGUAGGUAACCUACCUAUAAGACUGGGAUAACUUCGGGAAACCGGAGCUAAUACCGGAUAAUAUUUCGAACCGCAUGGUUCGAUAGUGAAAGAUGGCUUUGCUAUCACUUAUAGAUGGACCUGCGCCGUAUUAGCUAGUUGGUAAGGUAACGGCUUACCAAGGCAACGAUACGUAGCCGACCUGAGAGGGUGAUCGGCCACACUGGAACUGAGACACGGUCCAGACUCCUACGGGAGGCAGCAGUAGGGAGUCUUCCGCAAUGGGCGAAAGCCUGACGGAGCAACGCCGCGUGAGGGAUGAAGGUCUUCGGAUCGUAAAACUCUGUUAUUAGGGAAGAACAAACGUGUAAGUAACUGUGCACGUCUUGACGGUACCUAAUCAGAAAGCCACGGCUAACUACGUG